GCGCCGCUCUGAUACGAGAGCUCCGGACUUUUAAUCCGUAGGUUGUGGGUUCGAGUCCCACGCGACCCA
RNAcentral lists this transfer RNA (69 nucleotides) under Actinomadura sp. CNU-125. RNAcentral's name for it is "tRNA-Lys". The stretch from base 6 to 61 matches the Rfam family "tRNA", at positions 10 to 63 of the family's 71-position model. Rfam says of the family: Transfer RNA (tRNA) molecules are approximately 80 nucleotides in length. Lineage: Bacteria; Bacillati; Actinomycetota; Actinomycetes; Streptosporangiales; Thermomonosporaceae. The record is from RNAcentral.